CUGGAACGGUGCUGGUUGCCACA
Molecule: non-coding RNA, 23 nt
Filed under: Arabidopsis thaliana (thale cress)
Lineage: Eukaryota; Viridiplantae; Streptophyta; Magnoliopsida; Brassicales; Brassicaceae
Source: RNAcentral